AGCAGUUGUUUGAAAUCACGAAACCAGGACUUAAUCUAUUACAUUGCUCCAAAUAAAAUGAAAGUUUUCCCAAAUUACAUUAUAACCUACUAAUACAUGAAAUAAAUAUAUAAAUGAGACUAAUCUAUUACAAGUUUCUAUAUAAUUAAUAACCUAAAGAAUGCUUUGCCUCUUUUGAACAUGACUUGUCCAUCAAAGUUGGGCCUCUUCAUGUGUUAGAACAGCAGGAUCCAAAUUUCAGCUUUUGAGCCUGCUGAUUUGGUCAACUAGUGAUCAAAUCUGCAAGUACUAGCCUAGGUUUAGCUAACAGCUUUGUGGCCAUUUUCAUACCCAAACAACAAAAAUAACACACAGGUUUCAGCACACGAUCAUGUCUAAUUCUCGGCUUUAACACAUGCUGAUUUGGCUAAUAAAUGGCCAAAUCUACAAGUUAUAGCCUACUUGAUCUCAAACAAAGCAAACAUUGUACUAGAAUUCAUUUAUGAGCAUGGAAGGUAUGGACAAUAGCUUUAAUAGCUAAAAUAAACGAAAAUCAGCAUAGAGUUUCCACUUAGCAAAUUCAGGUUCUUUGACAUCUUUUAGGAAGAUCACAAGUGUCAAACUUACACAAUGUUCAUAUCAGUAUAUCUCAACUUGCAAUCAUAUCAACUAAGUUCAGAGUAUGCUAAUCAAACAAACACAAAGGAAAGCACUCGUUUGUUACACACAAUCUUAUAAACUUGAUAUUUAUAAUUCAUCAAUCAAAAUAAUUACAUAGGGGAGGGUUUGAAUCAAUACCUUAAACAACAAAAUAUCAGCACCUCCUAAGAUGAGAAGGCACUAAUUGAAGAAACCCAAAAAUAAGAAAAGAAAAGAGCAGUAGCAGAGCUCAAAAACUAGCCAGCAAACGAGUGACCCCCCCCCCCAGAGUUUCAAAACCAAAACAGCCACUUGAAAGCCAGAAAGCUCAACCAAAUAACCCUAGAAACCGCCUACUUCAAAUCAUUUCUAGCUUGUUAAAAUAAGGGAGAGGUUUUUUAGAAAUUUUCUGAGAUUUUCUCAAGUCUGAAAUUUUCAGAGAAAAGAGGAAUUUUAGGCAGAGAAUAAUGCUAAUCUAAUGAUUGUCAAUGAUUGUAUGUGUGAGUGAAUGCUUUCUCUUUUAUAGAGUGCACAAAAAGCAUCAAAAGAAAGGAAUAUUAGGACCUAGUACAACAUCUUUUUUACAGUUGUAUGUACUUUUUCCUUAUCCAAAAUCAGCAUUUGCUAAGGAUAGAGACAAUUGUCCUAAGUUCUAGAACUUUCUGAUUUUACCCAAUGUGAACUUCAUAUUUUGCCCUUUGAAUUACCACCUAUUUCAGUUCUAUCCUAAACUUUUAGGUUCAGUUAAGUACCUAAAGUUUUUAUUUGUUGGUAAAUCAGAACAAACAAGGACAAGCCUAGAAAGGAUUGAAACUUUGGAUCAAAAUGCCUAAGAGGAUCGAAUGGAUACAAUCUAACCAACAAACGUUAAUGCUUAACUGAUUAAACCUAAACCAGAAUUGAACCUAACAAUUAAUGCACUUAAACAGUAACCAAAACAAAAUCAAAGAUGCAAUCGCACGACAAAACUAGAAUUUAACCUAUAUCAGUUUGUAAAACUUAAGCAAAUGAAACAACAACGGCCUAAAUAAUUGUUAAUUCAACUAGAACAAGACAUUAGAUCAGUUUAGGAAAACAAAACAAUCAUUUGAAAUACUUAAUCUUAGAACUGAACCCUAGGCUAACUAAAUUCAACCAAUUGGAAACAUGCUCUUUUUUUUAAUCUAACAAACAAAAAACAGAUAUCAAACAAAACUAAAGAUCUGUGAAUCAAAAGAAAGAGAACCUAAAAUAGCCUAACUAAAACAUGCAACAAACAGAAACAAAUAAUAAAAGAAAGAAAAGAGAUGAUAGAGGUUCUUAAAAAAGGAAAAAGAAGAGUGGAGGGAUUUACUAGCUUGUUUCUGGACAGACCAAACAAAGCAAAACUGGACCAAUCUUAGAAUCAAAGGGCAAUACGGACAUUGAACUAGCAUUAACCGACUGUUCUCAAUGAGAACAGUCGACUAAUGAAAGUUUGGGGUUCAAAUGCCCAACUCUGGCCGGAGAAAAAAAUGGUACAAGCUUAGAUCGAAAAUUCAGAGAUAUUUGCCGAGGAUUUCGGGGAAUUGGUAGUGUUUUAGGGUUCAUAGGAGUAUGAGGAUUGUGGGGUAUGAUUUUGAGGUGAUUUGGAGGAGUUAGGGUGUUUUGGUUUGAAUCUUAGAUUUAAAAUUUGGGGCGUCUGAGUGUGAUUCGAGGGGAUUGGCUUGGGGAUUUGUAAAGAGAAGACGAGUCUGGGGUGUUGAUUUGGGGUCAUUUGGGACAGUUAGGGUUUUGGCCGUGAUUUCGAUCCAAGAUUCGAACAACUCGGUAGUGAUUCGAAGGAAAAGGAUUGGAGAUUCAGAAUGAGGAGGUAGUGGGGGUUUCAAGGUGUAAAUUUGGGGAUGAUUGGUAGUGAUCCGCCGUCGUGAGGCAAUUUCCGGCUGGCGGACCACGGCGGAGACGGUGAGGAGUUGAUGGCGGCUAGGGUUUCAUGUGUUUGGAUGAAAGAGGUGAAUUGAACGGGAUUGGAAUGGGGGGGGGGUUGAUUCAGACAGUAAUAUAGUUAAUGAGAGAUUAGUUCCAAGCCAU
RNAcentral lists this long non-coding RNA (2667 nucleotides) under Nicotiana tabacum (common tobacco). RNAcentral describes it as "long non-coding RNA (NTAB_LNC011832)". Lineage: Eukaryota; Viridiplantae; Streptophyta; Magnoliopsida; Solanales; Solanaceae. The record is from RNAcentral.